Molecule: ribosomal RNA, 533 nt
Filed under: uncultured bacterium
Lineage: Bacteria
Description: partial 16S ribosomal RNA
Rfam family: Bacterial small subunit ribosomal RNA
Source: RNAcentral
UGGGGAAUAUUGCACAAUGGGCGAAAGCCUGAUGCAGCAACGCCGCGUGAGUGAUGAAGGCCUUCGGGUUGUAAAGCUCUGUCUUUUGGGACGAUAAUGACGGUACCAAAGGAGGAAGCCACGGCUAACUACGUGCCAGCAGCCGCGGUAAUACGUAGGUGGCAAGCGUUGUCCGGAUUUACUGGGCGUAAAGGAUGCGUAGGCGGAUUUUUAAGUGAGAUGUGAAAACCCUAAGCUUAACUUGGGGACUGCAUUUCAUACUGGAAAUCUAGAGUGCGGGAGAGGAGAAUGGAAUUCCUAGUGUAGCGGUGAAAUGCGUAGAGAUUAGGAAGAACACCAGUGGCGAAGGCGAUUCUCUGGACCGUAACUGACGCUGAGGCAUGAAAGCGUGGGUAGCAAAACAGGAUUAGAUACCCUGGUAGUCCACGCCGUAAACGAUGAGUACUAGGUGUAGGAGGUAUCGACCCCUUCUGUGCCGCAGUUAACACAAUAAGUACUCCGCCUGGGAAGUACGAUCGCAAGAUUAAAAACUU